GGGGAAUUUUGGACAAUGGGGGCAACCCUGAUCCAGCCAUGCCGCGUGCGGGAAGAAGGCCUUCGGGUUGUAAACCGCUUUUGUCAGGGAAGAAAUCCUCUGGGCUAAUACCCCGGGGGGAUGACGGUACCUGAAGAAUAAGCACCGGCUAACUACGUGCCAGCAGCCGCGGUAAUACGUAGGGUGCGAGCGUUAAUCGGAAUUACUGGGCGUAAAGCGUGCGCAGGCGGUUGUGCAAGACAGAUGUGAAAUCCCCGGGCUUAACCUGGGAACUGCAUUUGUGACUGCACGGCUAGAGUGCGGCAGAGGGGAGUGGAAUUCCGCGUGUAGCAGUGAAAUGCGUAGAUAUGCGGAGGAACACCGAUGGCGAAGGCAGCUCCCUGGGCCUGCACUGACGCUCAUGCACGAAAGCGUGGGGAGCAAAC
RNAcentral lists this ribosomal RNA (425 nucleotides) under uncultured bacterium. RNAcentral describes it as "bacterial SSU rRNA". It matches the Rfam family "Bacterial small subunit ribosomal RNA", at positions 356 to 773 of the family's 1533-position model. The record is from RNAcentral.